GUGCCAGCAGCUGCGGUAAUACGUAGGUGGCAAGCGUUAUCCGGAUUUAUUGGGCGUAAAGCGAGCGCAGGCGGUUUUUUAAGUCUGAUGUGAAAGCCCUCGGCUUAACCGAGGAAGUGCAUCGGAAACUGGGAAACUUGAGUGCAGAAGAGGACAGUGGAACUCCAUGUGUAGCGGUGAAAUGCGUAGAUAUAUGGAAGAACACCAGUGGCGAAGGCGGCUGUCUGGUCUGUAACUGACGCUGAGGCUCGAAAGCAUGGGUAGCGAACAGGAUUAGAUACCCUGGUAGUCCAUGCCGUAAACGAUGAAUGCUAGGUGUUGGAGGGUUUCCGCCCUUCAGUGCCGCAGCUAACGCAUUAAGCAUUCCGCCUGGGGAGUACGACCGCAAGUUGAAACUCAAAGGAAUUGACGGGGCCCGCACAAGCGGUGGAGCAUGUGGUUUAAUUCGAAGCAACGCGAAGAACCUUACCAGGUCUUGACAUCUUUUGAUCAACCUGAGAGAUCA
Molecule: ribosomal RNA, 505 nt
Filed under: uncultured Lactobacillus sp.
Lineage: Bacteria; Bacillati; Bacillota; Bacilli; Lactobacillales; Lactobacillaceae
Description: bacterial SSU rRNA
Rfam family: Bacterial small subunit ribosomal RNA
Source: RNAcentral